RNAcentral lists this ribosomal RNA (253 nucleotides) under uncultured bacterium. Its description in RNAcentral is "partial 16S ribosomal RNA". It matches the Rfam family "Bacterial small subunit ribosomal RNA", at positions 524 to 776 of the family's 1533-position model. The record is from RNAcentral.
UACGUAGGGUGCAAGCGUUAAUCGGAAUUACUGGGCGUAAAGCGUGCGCAGGCGGUUUUGUAAGUCUGUCGUGAAAGCCCCGGGCUUAACCUGGGAAUUGCGAUGGAGACUGCAAGGCUUGAAUCUGGCAGAGGGGGGUAGAAUUCCACGUGUAGCAGUGAAAUGCGUAGAGAUGUGGAGGAACACCGAUGGCGAAGGCAGCCCCCUGGGUCAAGAUUUACGCUCAUGCACGAAAGCGUGGGGAGCAAACAGG